This 449-nucleotide ribosomal RNA is filed under the name uncultured bacterium. Its description in RNAcentral is "partial 16S ribosomal RNA". It matches the Rfam family "Bacterial small subunit ribosomal RNA", at positions 354 to 796 of the family's 1533-position model. The record is from RNAcentral.
GUGGGGAAUCUUCCGCAAUGGACGAAAGUCUGACGGAGCAACGCCGCGUGAGUGAAGAAGGUUUUCGGAUCGUAAAGCUCUUUCGUAGGGACGAACGUGCUCUUUGUGAAUAAUGAGGAGUAAUGACGGUACCUAAAUAAGAAGCCACGGCUAACUACGUGCCAGCAGCCGCGGUAAUACGUAGGUGGCAAGCGUUGUCCGGAAUUAUUGGGCGUAAAGCGCGCGCAGGCGGGAUAUCAAGUCUGUCUUAAAAGUGCGAGGCUCAACCUCGUGAGGGGACAGAAACUGGUAUUCUUGAGUGUCGGAGAGGAAAGUGGAAUUCCAAGUGUAGCGGUGAAAUGCGUAGAGAUUUGGAAGAACACCAGUGGCGAAGGCGACUUUCUGGACGAUGUCUGACGCUGAGGCGCGAAAGCUAGGGGAGCGAACGGGAUUAGAUACCCUUGUAGUCC